Molecule: ribosomal RNA, 468 nt
Filed under: uncultured bacterium
Lineage: Bacteria
Description: partial 16S ribosomal RNA
Rfam family: Bacterial small subunit ribosomal RNA
Source: RNAcentral
GACGAACGCUGGCGGCGUGCUUAACACAUGCAAGUCGAACGGAAAGGCCCUGCUUUUGUGGGGUGCUCGAGUGGCGAACGGGUGAGUAACACGUGAGUAACCUGCCCUUGACUUUGGGAUAACUUCAGGAAACUGGGGCUAAUACCGGAUAGGAGCUCCUGCUGCAUGGUGGGGGUUGGAAAGUUUCGGCGGUUGGGGAUGGACUCGCGGCUUAUCAGCUUGUUGGUGGGGUAGUGGCUUACCAAGGCUUUGACGGCUAGCCUGCAUGAGAGGGUGACCGGCCACCUUGGGACUGAGAUACGGACCAGACUCCUACGGGAGGCAGCAGUGGGGAAUCUUGCAGAAUGGGCGGAAGCCUGAUGCAGCAACGCCGCGUGCGGGAUGACGGUUUUCGGGUUGAAAACCGCUUUCGACUGUGACGAAGCGUGCGUGACGGUAAUGGGUAAAGAAGCCACGGCUAACUACGUG